This 958-nucleotide unclassified non-coding RNA is filed under the name Bombus terrestris (buff-tailed bumblebee). RNAcentral's name for it is "misc RNA ENSBTSG00005038734.1". Lineage: Eukaryota; Metazoa; Arthropoda; Insecta; Hymenoptera; Apidae. The record is from RNAcentral.
UGAACAGCCAUAUGUCGAAUAAGAUUCCCUUUAUGCCUGAAAAACAAAAUACAUAAGCAUACAACUAUAUGCUCCUCCAUAUCUUCACUUGAUAAGUGUAUCACAAAUAUUACAUACCUAAACGGUCGUUCACAUUCAGGGCAUUGAUGUGUCUUUUCUUGUGGCGGAGGGGGGACAUAAGUAGGAUUAUGAUAUAAAUUAUAAUGCCGUUUGAGAAGUUGUUUUUGUCUGAAUGAUUGAAAGCAAUGAUCACAUUGAUAUGGUUUUUGAUCAGUAUGAAUUAACAUGUGGCUCUCGAGAUGGCGCUCGGAUAUAGAAGCAUAUGGACACAAAUCACAUUUAUAACAUUUUUCCCCUUCCUAUUAUACAGCCCAGUUUUUGCCACAUACCUGUCAGGGAAUGAUUUUCCACAGCGUUUACAUUUCAAAGGUUUAUCAGAGGUGUGUAAUUUUUGUACAUGAAUUCUGAGAUCUGUUUUCCUUCCACACGUCGUUGGACAUAAUUCACAUUGAAACACUGGCUUGUCACCAACUAUAACACAUAUUAUUAUAACUAUAAAUAAAAGAAAAUUACAUAACAAAUGUAACAACCUUUAAUAUAUAAAGCAUCAACAUACCGUUAUGUAUCAGUUUAUGAGCUUUUAAACUAUUAGACUGAGUAAACCUUGCCUGACAAAAAUCACACUCGUAUGGUUUUUCUCCUGUAUGUAUGCGCAAAUGGCGUUUUAGCUUGAAAGUAUCAGGACUUGCAUAUGUACAAUGCGGACACUGUAAUGUAAUAAUAAUUUUAUGGUCGUAAUUAACACUUUUUAAAGUAUAAGUAUACAAUAUACCUGAUAUGGACGUUCGCCUGUAUGACAUCGAAUAUGACGUUUGAGUUUAGACAAUUCAACAGAUGCAUAGUCACAUUCAUGACAUUUAUGUGGCUUUUCAUGGGUGUGUCUAUAUCGAACAUGUCU